RNAcentral lists this ribosomal RNA (381 nucleotides) under uncultured bacterium. RNAcentral describes it as "bacterial SSU rRNA". It matches the Rfam family "Bacterial small subunit ribosomal RNA", at positions 524 to 902 of the family's 1533-position model. The record is from RNAcentral.
UACGAAGGGGGCUAGCGUUGCUCGGAAUCACUGGGCGUAAAGGGUGCGUAGGCGGGUCUUUAAGUCAGGGGUGAAAUCCUGGAGCUCAACUCCAGAACUGCCUUUGAUACUGAAGAUCUUGAGUUCGGGAGAGGUGAGUGGAACUGCGAGUGUAGAGGUGAAAUUCGUAGAUAUUCGCAAGAACACCAGUGGCGAAGGCGGCUCACUGGCCCCGAUACUGACGCUGAGGCACGAAAGCGUGGGGGGAGCAAACAGGAUUAGAUACCCUGGUAGUCCACGCCGUAAACGAUGAAUGCCAGCCGUUAGUGGGUUUACUCACUAGUGGCGCAGCUAACGCUUUAAGCAUUCCGCCUGGGGAGUACGGUCGCAAGAUUAAAACUC